Leucoraja erinaceus (little skate) is the source of this 168-nucleotide small nuclear RNA. RefSeq annotates it as U1 spliceosomal RNA. NCBI's taxonomy places the organism in Eukaryota, Metazoa, Chordata, Chondrichthyes, Rajiformes, Rajidae. The transcript has a single exon. The record is from RefSeq and is a predicted model, not a curated record.
AUACUUACCUGGCAGGGGAGACACCAUGAUCACCAAGGUGGUUCUCCCAGGACGAGGCUAUCCCAUUGCACUUCGGGUGUGCUGACGCCUGCGAUGUCCCCAAAUGCGGGAUACUCGACUGCAAAAUUUGUGGUAGUGGGGGACUGCGUUCGCGCUCAUUGUCCCCAC